Molecule: ribosomal RNA, 775 nt
Filed under: uncultured Actinomycetes bacterium
Lineage: Bacteria; Bacillati; Actinomycetota; Actinomycetes
Description: bacterial SSU rRNA
Rfam family: Bacterial small subunit ribosomal RNA
Source: RNAcentral
AGUCGAACGAUGAAGCUGGAGCUUGCUCCGGCGGAUUAGUGGCGAACGGGUGAGUAACACGUGAGCAAUCUGCCCUUGACUCUGGGAUAACUGCGGGAAACUGUAGCUAAUACCGGAUACUUUCCUCGGUGGGCAUCCACUGAGGAAGAAAGAAUUUCGGUCAAGGAUGAGCUCGCGACCUAUCAGCUAGUUGGUGAGGUAAAGGCUCACCAAGGCGAUGACGGGUAGCCGGCCUGAGAGGGUGACCGGCCACACUGGGACUGAGACACGGCCCAGACUCCUACGGGAGGCAGCAGUGGGGAAUAUUGCACAAUGGACGAAAGUCUGAUGCAGCAACGCCGCGUGAGGGACGAAGGCCUUCGGGUUGUAAACCUCUUUUAGCAGGGAAGAAGCGAAAGUGACGGUCCCUGCAGAAAAAGCACCGGCUAACUACGUGCCAGCAGCCGCGGUAAUACAUAGGGUGCAAGCGUUGUCCGGAAUUAUUGGGCGUAAAGAGCUCGUAAGCGGUUUGUCCCGGCUGCUGUGAAAUUUCGAGGCUCAACCUCAAACUUGCAGUGGGUACGGGCAGGCUAAAGUGCAGUUGGGGGAAAUGGGAAUUCCUGGUGUAACCGGGGAAAUGCGCCAAAUUUCGGGGGGAACCCCAAUGGCGAAGGCCCAUCUCUGGGGUGUAACUGACCCUUAGGAAGCGAAAGCGUGGGGGAGGAACAAGGAUAAAAACCCCGGGUAGUCCCCCCCCUAAACCGUGGGGGGCUUAGCUGUGGGCCCCAUUCCCCGU